This 253-nucleotide ribosomal RNA is filed under the name uncultured bacterium. Its description in RNAcentral is "partial 16S ribosomal RNA". It matches the Rfam family "Bacterial small subunit ribosomal RNA", at positions 524 to 776 of the family's 1533-position model. The record is from RNAcentral.
UACGUAGGUGGCAAGCGUUGUCCGGAAUUACUGGGCGUAAAGCGCGUGUAGGCGGAUGGGCAAGUCUGCUGUGAAAGCUCCUGGCUUAACCGGGAGUGGUCGGUGGAAACUGCCAAUCUGGAGGACGGUAGAGGUAGGUAGAAUUCCCGGUGUAGUGGUGAAAUGCGUAGAGAUCGGGAGGAAUACCUGUGGCGAAGGCGGCCUACUGGGCCGGACCUGACGCUGAGACGCGAAGGCGUGGGGAGCGAACGGG